CCUACGGGCGGCAGCAGUGGGGAAUAUUGGACAAUGGGGGCAACCCUGAUCCAGCCAUGCCGCGUGUGUGAAGAAGGCCCUCGGGUUGUAAAGCACUUUCAGUGAGGAAGAACGCCUGGUGGUUAAUACCCAUCAGGAAAGACAUCACUCACAGAAGAAGCACCGGCUAACUCCGUGCCAGCAGCCGCGGUAAUACGGAGGGUGCGAGCGUUAAUCGGAAUUACUGGGCGUAAAGCGCGCGUAGGUGGCUUGAUAAGCCGGUUGUGAAAGCCCCGGGCCCAACCUGGGAACGGCAUCCGGAACUGUCAAGCUAGAGUGCAGGAGAGGAAGGUAGAAUUCCCGGUGUAGCGGUGAAAUGCGUAGAGAUCGGGAGGAAUACCAGUGGCGAAGGCGGCCUUCAGGACUGACACUGACACUGAGGUGCGAAAGCGUGGGUAGCAAACAGGAUUAGAUACCCCGGUAGUC
RNAcentral lists this ribosomal RNA (465 nucleotides) under Vreelandella stevensii. RNAcentral describes it as "partial 16S ribosomal RNA". It matches the Rfam family "Bacterial small subunit ribosomal RNA", at positions 338 to 795 of the family's 1533-position model. Lineage: Bacteria; Pseudomonadati; Pseudomonadota; Gammaproteobacteria; Oceanospirillales; Halomonadaceae. The record is from RNAcentral.